This is a long non-coding RNA of Ostrea edulis (European flat oyster), 601 nucleotides long. RefSeq lists it as uncharacterized. The record is from RefSeq and is a predicted model, not a curated record. NCBI's taxonomy places the organism in Eukaryota, Metazoa, Mollusca, Bivalvia, Ostreida, Ostreidae. The transcript is spliced from 3 exons.
GGUAUUGCCAUCCCAAUAUUUAGUUGGAAGUUCCCAGGUAUAGUCCGCUAGUGACAGUCUGCUGGCAAAUCCAGGCAUGCGAUGGAAGGAUGCUGAUGUGAAGGACACAGGGACACCUGAUACAAGAACUGUGGCAUUUCAUUCAGAGUGACAACCUGACAUUCAGUUGAUAUUGGACCCGAUUAUUCAGAAAACUGCAGAUUUUAGGAAGCUGUUUUUGACAGAAGAUUUGGCUUUAUCCAUCUGUAUUGCCACCAACCAUUAUGCUGAGAUGGUCAUAUCUAGGGGGAAAGAUUGUCAUUAUACUUCCCAAGGAAGUUUGCAUCCUCUCACUGAAGAGGAAUUGUACAGAUUUUCGUGCAUUAUCUUAUACAUGUUUGCUGUGAAGUUCCAGUCGAUAGACAUAUAUUGGUCAAUCCAUGCCCCUUUCGGAACAACCCAGUACAGUGUAUCAGGAAUGAUGUCUAGAAAUAAGUUUUAAGAGGUUGAAUAUAAGAACAUUUUUGUUAAUUAUGAUGCAAGUACAUUUAAAUCUAGUGAUUGAAAGUAAGUACUUGAACAUUCGUAUGCGUUGAUCUUACAGAGGAAAAAUGGGUAGUAC